AACGGCACCGACUCUUUGGUGCGUAAAUGGCCAAACAGCACCGAGAUGAGCUCACUGACGUCUGGAUUUCAAACGCGAGCAGACGUUGCUUUGCCUUGCCAAAAUGCAGAGUUUUGUUGUAAAAAAGUACAUGUUUAAGAGAUGGCGCUGAUUUAUUUAGUGAUCAAACCGUGAAA
Long non-coding RNA from Maniola jurtina (meadow brown), 176 nucleotides. RefSeq lists it as uncharacterized. NCBI's taxonomy places the organism in Eukaryota, Metazoa, Arthropoda, Insecta, Lepidoptera, Nymphalidae. The transcript is spliced from 3 exons. The record is from RefSeq and is a predicted model, not a curated record.